Beta vulgaris subsp. vulgaris (sugar beet) is the source of this 1668-nucleotide long non-coding RNA. RefSeq lists it as uncharacterized. The record is from RefSeq and is a predicted model, not a curated record. The transcript is spliced from 2 exons. NCBI's taxonomy places the organism in Eukaryota, Viridiplantae, Streptophyta, Magnoliopsida, Caryophyllales, Amaranthaceae.
AUUAUGUUACAAAUUUUGUGUUGUAUUGUAAUUUGUUUUUCUUUCUAAGCUUUAACAAUAACAAAGUCACUCGAUCUAUUACGGAAUUUUUGAAAGAGUACUACAUUGAGCCAUGUAGAAAUUGGACUGAAACAAGUCAAUCAACAAAAGAUCAUUGGUUUCAUCUUUUCAAGGUUAACACUUUAACUUAAUUUUAUUCUAUCACAAAUAAGACUAUAAAUAUUUAGUCAGUUCUUAUUUUUGCAUGAUACACCGUAAUACUCUUGGCCUUCAGAGUUGGAUUCACAAGUAAGAGAAGGUUUUCAAUGCAAAGCAGCUAAAAGACUUAAACACUUGCAUCAUUGGGUGACAUCGAAGAAAAAAAGGUGUAAGACCAAUAUGGAUGCCAGAGGAAGUACACCAACAACUUAUGCAAAAAACAAAAGAUGAUGAGUUUAAGAAAAAAAUCAGAACAAGCGAAAAAGAACAAGAGAGGAGGAUCAAUGAAAGGUGUUGUGGAACCUGGACAUUGUCAAGUUUCAAUUUCUACGGCCGACUAUGCAAGAAGGAUGGCUGCAAAAAAUGGAGGAGUCUUGCCAAAAGCUGCUGAUAUUUACUUGGAGACGCAUUCAAAGGAACGACAACCAGGCCAAGGCAAGCAACUCAUUGGGUCCAAAUCAAAACAAAUCAUGGUUAGUAUACUUCAUUUGAUCAAAUAAAAAAUUAUAAAUAUAUUUGGAACGUUGGUUGGAUGACAUAUGAUAUUUAAAUGGUUUGAAUUGUUCUUUGGAUGAUUGAUUGGAUGAAUAGUUGGUUGAAUUAUUGGAAAGAUUGUUAGAUGAAGUAUAUGAACAUUUUGUUUUUUGGUUUUGAGUUAUAAUGUUGUUGAAGUUAUAUCAUUUGUAAAAAAUCAUGGGAUUGAUGUUGAUUAGUUAUUAGUAUAAACUAUUAGAUGUAAUAUUGAAUUAUCUUGCACUUUGCAGGUAUAUACAUAUUCAAUAUUUUGUAGUAUCAAUUUAAACAAAUAUUUGUCUAUUUUUUUCUAGAAAUAUUAUGUAUGUAUAUUAAACUUAUCUAUUUGAUGUAAGAUGAUUAUAAUAAGAAAAUGGAUGAUUAUAGAGAGAAGGGAGUCAACAAAGAUCCCCAUGAAGUUUACUUUGAGAUAGUGGGUGGGAGGAAAAAAGGAUUGAUUCCUGGCUUAGGUACAAGUGGUGAUCUUCUUUACAAAAAACCAUCAACCCGCACUAGUAGCUCUUCUAGUAUCUACACGUCUUCUAUGCUUUCUCAGCUUUCAACUACCGUGGAGCAAUAUCAGCAACAAUUAGCGGAUCAAAUAGCUGAAUUUCAGAGGCAAAAAAAUGAGUGGGAGACACAUCGUCUCCAAACGGAAAAGGAAAGGGAAGAGACAAAGAAAUACAUGGAGGAGAUGAAGACGACAAUGGAAGAGUAUUCUCAAAUGAUGACUCAGUGUGGAGGUACUUUCCCUUUCACCCAACCACGUGACCCACGUGAUCCUUCUGGUGGUGGAUCGGGAUUUCCUUGUAGUACUUAGACUUAUAGCCUUUUAUUAGUAUAUUAUAUAUUUUGAGAAAAAUGAUGUAUAAUUUUGGUUGUUGGAAUUACUCUUAGAUUUAUAUUGUGGAGAAUAUGAUGUUUAAUAUAUGUUGUAUCAAACCUAUUAUUUUGAUA